Molecule: ribosomal RNA, 475 nt
Filed under: uncultured bacterium
Lineage: Bacteria
Description: bacterial SSU rRNA
Rfam family: Bacterial small subunit ribosomal RNA
Source: RNAcentral
UUGAACGCUGGCGGCAUGCUUUACACAUGCAAGUCGAACGGUAACAGGUUAAGCUGACGAGUGGCGAACGGGUGAGUAAUGCAUCGGAACGUGCCCGAUCGUGGGGGAUAACGCAGCGAAAGCUGCGCUAAUACCGUAUACGAUCUGAGGAUGAAAGCGGGGGACCGUAAGGCCUCGCGCGAUCGGAGCGGCCGAUGUCAGAUUAGGUAGUUGGUGGGGUAAAGGCUCACCAAGCCGACGAUCUGUAGCUGGUCUGAGAGGACGACCAGCCACACUGGGACUGAGACACGGCCCAGACUCCUACGGGAGGCAGCAGUGGGGAAUUUUGGACAAUGGGCGCAAGCCUGAUCCAGCAAUGCCGCGUGCAGGAAGAAGGCCUUCGGGUUGUAAAGCUCUUUCGGCCGGGAAGAAAUCGUAUCAGCUAAUACCUGGUGCGGAUGACGGUACCGGCAUAAGAAGCACCGGCUAACUACGU